UGCCAGCCGCCGCGGUAAUACGUAGGUGGCAAGCGUUGUCCGGAAUUAUUGGGCGUAAAGCGCGCGCAGGCGGUCCUUUAAGUCUGAUGUGAAAGCCCACGGCUCAACCGUGGAGGGUCAUUGGAAACUGGGGGACUUGAGUGCAGAAGAGGAAAGUGGAAUUCCAAGUGUAGCGGUGAAAUGCGUAGAGAUUUGGAGGAACACCAGUGGCGAAGGCGACUUUCUGGUCUGUAACUGACGCUGAGGCGCGAAAGCGUGGGGAGCAAACAGGAUUAGAUA
RNAcentral lists this ribosomal RNA (279 nucleotides) under uncultured bacterium. RNAcentral describes it as "partial 16S ribosomal RNA". It matches the Rfam family "Bacterial small subunit ribosomal RNA", at positions 506 to 784 of the family's 1533-position model. The record is from RNAcentral.